This 84-nucleotide transfer RNA is filed under the name Thermoplasmata archaeon. RNAcentral describes it as "tRNA-Leu". It matches the Rfam family "tRNA". Rfam says of the family: Transfer RNA (tRNA) molecules are approximately 80 nucleotides in length. Their secondary structure includes four short double-helical elements and three loops (D, anti-codon, and T loops). RNAcentral also lists the same sequence under 1 other name. The record is from RNAcentral. Lineage: Archaea; Methanobacteriati; Thermoplasmatota; Thermoplasmata.
GCGGGGGUAGCCAAGUCUGGUCAAAGGCGCAAGAUCGAGGGUCUUGUCCCUAGCGGUUCGCAUGUUCAAAUCGUGCCCCCCGCA